CGUCUCUAUGGUGGCGGCGGAUUUGGACGGACCCUACGAACCAGGAGUCAGGCGAGCCGAUCUGGGGCUGCAGGUGUUACCUCUGAUCUAGGCCGGGGGCUUCAGGGAUCCGAGCCGAGGGAGAAAGCCUUGGGGGCUUCAUCACACUUAUUUGGCUCGCGGGCUUGGGGCCAUCGGGUGGUCCUGUGUCAUCGCCAUUCCUCCUCUGCGAUUCCCCCGUCGCCCCAAAACAGCCCUGGGACUCCCCUGUCUUGCUCCUCGAGACCCUCCCCACGCCAUGUGACCCUCCCCCAUCACCGUCCUCUGGGCACCGCAUCCUAUGACCCAGUCUCAGGCAUCUUCCGAAAUGCUCGAUGAUAGCCGCCUUCGGGCAUCUCCGCUGCGUCUGUUUGUAGCGCGCCUGGUAACUCGGCUGCACCUCCACACAGGAUGUUCCGCUGGGAGCGCUCCAUUCCCCUGCGAGGCUCGGCCGCCGCCCUGUGCAACAACCUCAGUGUGCUGCAGCUGCCGGCUCGCAACCUCACGUAUUUUGGCGUGGUUCAUGGACCAAGCGCCCAGCUUCUCAGCGCUGCUCCUGAGGGUGUGCCCUUGGCCCAGCGCCAGCUCCAUGCUAAGGAGGGUGCUGGAGUGAGCCCCCCACUUAUCACUCAGGUGAGGCAUGGAGUUGGGAGUGAUGUUGCUGAACCCCGUCCUACCCCCAGCCUUUUCUCUCCAAACCUUCAGGAGCAGGCAUGUCCUAACCUCAGAAUCUCCCCUCUCCUGCCGGGCACGGUGGCUCACGCCUGUAAUCCCAACACUUUGGGAGGCCGAGACGGGCACUUGAGGCCAGGAGUUUGAGACCAGCCUGGCCAUCAUGGUGAAACCUCUUCUUUACUAAGAAUACAAAAAAAUUAACCGGGUGUGGUGGCGUGCACCUGUAAUCCCAGCUACUUGGGUGGCUGAGGCAGUAGAAUCGCUUGAACCCAGGAGGCUGAGGUUGCAGUGAGCUGAGAUGGAGCCACUGCACUCCAGCGUGGGCCACAGAGCAAGACUCCAUCCCCCCCCAAAAAAAAGAAAUCUCAUCUUCCCUGCUUUGAUUUUCUCCCUACACUGAUGCACCUCCCUCCAGGUCCACUGGUGUGUCCUCCCCUUCCGAGUGCUGCUGGUACUCACCUCACAUCGAGGAAUACAGAUGUACGAGUCCAAUGGCUACACCAUGGUCUACUGGCAUGCACUGGACUCUGGAGAUGCCUCCCCAGUACAGGCUGUGUUUGCCCGGGGAAUUGCUGCCAGUGGCCACUUCAUCUGUGUGGGAACGUGGUCAGGCCGGGUGCUGGUGUUUGACAUCCCAGCAAAGGGUCCCAACAUUGUACUGAGUGAGGAGCUGGCUGGGCACCAGAUGCCAAUCACAGACAUUGCCACCGAGCCUGCCCAGGGACAGAGUCCCGUGCCCCUCUGUGCAGCUGUGGCAGGGGAUCAUAGCAGCAGGCUAUGGGAAUGGACAAGUGCAUCUGUAUGAGGCCACUACAGGGAAUCUACAUGUCCAGAUCAAUGCCCAUGCCCGGGCCAUCUGCGCCCUGGACCUGGCUUCUGAGGUGGGCAAGCUACUCUCUGCAGGUGAGGAUACCUUUGUGCAUAUCUGGAAGCUCAGCAGAAGCCCAGAGAGUGGCUACAUUGAGGUAUGUGUCAUGGGGUGGGUGGACUUGGGGGGCCCAAGCAUGGGGCAGCAGGCCCUGACCAGCCCUCUGCUCCCCCAGGUGGAACACUGUCAUGGUGAGUGUGUCUCCGACACCCAGCUGUGUGGUGCUCGAUUUUGUGAUUCCUCAGGCAGCUCCUUUGCUGUGACUGGCUAUGACCUUGCGGAGAUCCGGAGAUUCAGCAGUGUGUGAGAAAAGCAGCCUUCCUUUGUCCCUGUGGUAUUCAUAAAGUACCCGCUCCACCCA
Molecule: small RNA, 1922 nt
Filed under: Pongo abelii (Sumatran orangutan)
Lineage: Eukaryota; Metazoa; Chordata; Mammalia; Primates; Hominidae
Description: retained intron
Source: RNAcentral